CUUUUGCUGUCAGUUUUUCUGUUGCUUGUCUUGGUUUUAUGCCUUUUAUAUCAAGGCACAUAAAAGGCAUAAAACCAAGACAAGCAAC
Molecule: microRNA precursor, 88 nt
Filed under: Pan troglodytes (chimpanzee)
Lineage: Eukaryota; Metazoa; Chordata; Mammalia; Primates; Hominidae
Description: miRNA (ENSPTRG00000042332.2)
Source: RNAcentral